Molecule: ribosomal RNA, 467 nt
Filed under: uncultured bacterium
Lineage: Bacteria
Description: partial 16S ribosomal RNA
Rfam family: Bacterial small subunit ribosomal RNA
Source: RNAcentral
GACGAACGCUGGCGGCGUGCUUAACACAUGCAAGUCGAACGGAAAGGCCCUGCUUUUGUGGGGUGCUCGAGUGGCGAACGGGUGAGUAACACGUGAGUAACCUGCCCUUGACUUUGGGAUAACUUCAGGAAACUGGGGCUAAUACCGGAUAGGAGCUCCUGCUGCAUGGUGGGGGUUGGAAGUUUCGGCGGUUGGGGAUGGACCCGCGGCUUAUCAGCUUGUUGGUGGGGUAGUGGCUUACCAAGGCUUUGACGGGUAGCCGGCCUGAGAGGGUGACCGGCCACAUUGGGACUGAGAUACGGCCCAGACUCCUACGGGAGGCAGCAGUGGGGAAUAUUGCACAAUGGGCGGAAGCCUGAUGCAGCAACGCCGCGUGCGGGAUGACGGCCUUCGGGUUGUAAACCGCUUUCGCCUGUGACGAAGCGUGAGUGACGGUAAUGGGUAAAGAAGCACCGGCUAACUACGUG